UGUUUCUUAAUGGAUCCUAAAUACAUAGUUAUGGUUGAACUCUGGGAAAACUGUCAAUCCCUCGAGGCCCCUGAGUCCUUGGUUGCUACCAGGAGGUUCGGAGUAGACACUGGCUACAGUCUUUCUGUGCAAGGCCCUGUGUGACCUUUACACACUGUGUUUAUGUUGGGCAUCUCACCCCACACCCCUCCACCUCCUCCAUCUCCCCUGUCCUUUUCUCCCAGAUAUACCUGCCGAACCCUUUUUGAGCGCCACAAGCUUCUGUUCAGUUUUCACAUGUGUGCCAAAAUCCUGGAGACGUCUGGGAAGCUCAACAUGGACGAGUACAACUUCUUUCUGCGUGGGGGUGUGGUUCUGGAUCGGGAGGGCCAAAUGGACAACCCAUGUACUAGCUGGCUGGCAGAUGCCUACUGGGAUAACAUCACCGAGCUGGACAAACUGACCAACUUCCAUGGGCUCAUGAA
RNAcentral lists this long non-coding RNA (464 nucleotides) under Rattus norvegicus (Norway rat). Its description in RNAcentral is "long non-coding RNA NONRATT005568". The record is from RNAcentral. Lineage: Eukaryota; Metazoa; Chordata; Mammalia; Rodentia; Muridae.